Molecule: ribosomal RNA, 523 nt
Filed under: uncultured bacterium
Lineage: Bacteria
Description: partial 16S ribosomal RNA
Rfam family: Bacterial small subunit ribosomal RNA
Source: RNAcentral
GACGAACGCUGGCGGCGUGCCUAUACAUGCAAGUCGAGCGCAGGAAACUGACGGAACUCUUCGGAGGGAAGGCAGUGGAAUGAGCGGCGGACGGGUGAGUAACACGUAAGGAACCUGCCUCAAGGAUUGGGAUAACUCCGAGAAAUCGGAGCUAAUACCGGAUAGUUCAACGGACCGCAUGGUCCGCUGAUGAAAGGCGCUUCGGCGUCACCUUGAGAUGGCCUUGCGGUGCAUUAGCUAGUUGGUGGGGUAACGGCCCACCAAGGCGACGAUGCAUAGCCGACCUGAGAGGGUGAUCGGCCACACUGGGACUGAGACACGGCCCAGACUCCUACGGGAGGCAGCAGUAGGGAAUCUUCCACAAUGGACGAAAGUCUGAUGGAGCAACGCCGCGUGAGUGAUGAAGGUUUUCGGAUCGUAAAACUCUGUUGUAAGGGAAGAACACGUACGAGAGGAAAUGCUCGUACCUUGACGGUACCUUACGAGAAAGCCACGGCUAACUACGUGUCAGCAGCCGCAGUAA